CCUACGGGAGGCAGCAGUGAGGAAUAUUGGUCAAUGGGCGCGAGCCUGAACCAGCCAAGUAGCGUGAAGGAUGACUGCCCUACGGGUUGUAAACUUCUUUUAUACAGGAAUAAAGUGACGCACGUGUACCUUUUUGUAUGUACUUUAUGAAUAAGGAUCGGCUAACUCCGUGCCAGCAGCCGCGGUAAUACGGAGGAUCCGAGCGUUAUCCGGAUUUAUUGGGUUUAAAGGGAGCGUAGAUGGGUUGUUAAGUCAGUUGUGAAAUUUUGGGGCUCAACCGGAAAAUUGCAAUUGAUACUGGCAGUCUUGAGUACAGUUGAGGUAGGCGGAAUUCGUGGUGUAGCGGUGAAAUGCUUAGAUAUGACGAAGAACUCCGAUUGCGAAGGCAGCUUACUAAAGUGCAACUGACGUUGAUGCUCGAAAGUGUGGGUAUCGAACAGGAUUAGAUACCCUGGUAGUC
Molecule: ribosomal RNA, 460 nt
Filed under: uncultured bacterium
Lineage: Bacteria
Description: partial 16S ribosomal RNA
Rfam family: Bacterial small subunit ribosomal RNA
Source: RNAcentral